UAGCUAUUUGGUGAGGUAAAGGCUUACCAAGGCGACGAUCUGUAGCGGGUCUGAGAGGAUGAUCCGCCACACUGGAACUGACACACGGUCCAGACUCCUACGGGAGGCAGCAGUGGGGAAUUUUGGACAAUGGGGGCAACCCUGAUCCAGCCAUGCCGCGUGAGUGAAGAAGGCCUUCGGGUUGUAAAGCUCUUUCGGCCGGGAAGAAAUCGCAUGGGCCAUACCCUGUGUGGAUGACGGUACCGGAAUAAGAAGCACCGGCUAACUACGUGCCAGCAGCCGCGGUAAUACGUAGGGUGCGAGCGUUAAUCGGAAUUACUGGGCGUAAAGCGUGCGCAGGCGGUUUUGUAAGACAGGCGUGAAAUCCCCGGGCUUAACCUGGGAACUGCGUUUGUGACUGCAAGGCUAGAGUACGGCAGAGGGGGGUGGAAUUCCACGUGUAGCAGUGAAAUGCGUAGAGAUGUGGAGGAACACCAAUGGCGAAGGCAGCCCCCUGGGUCGAUACUGACGCUCAUGCACGAAAGCGUGGGUAGCAAACAGGAUUAGAUACCCUGGUAGUCCACGCCCUAAACUAUGUCAACUAGGUGUUGGGUGGGUAAAACCAUUUAGUACCGUAGCUAACGCGUGAAGUUGACCGCCUGGGGAGUACGGCCGCAAGGUUAAAACUCAAAGGAAUUGACGGGGACCCGCACAAGCGGUGGAUGAUGUGGAUUAAUUCGAUGCAACGCGAAAAACCUUACCUACCCUUGACAUGCCAGGAACUUGCCAGAGAUGGCUUGGUGCCCGAAAGGGAGCCUGGACACAGGUGCUGCAUGGCUGUCGUCAGCUCGUGUCGUGAGAUGUUGGGUUAAGUCCCGCAACGAGCGCAACCCUUGUCGUUAAUUGCCAUCAUUUAGUUGGGCACUUUAACGAGACUGCCGGUGACAAACCGGAGGAAGGUGGGGAUGACGUCAAGUCCUCAUGGCCCUUAUGGGUAGGGCUUCGCACGUCAUACAAUGGUCGGUACAAAGGGUUGCCAAGCCGCGAGGCGGAGCCAAUCCCAGAAAGCCGAUCGUAGUCCGGAUUGCAGGCUGCAACUCGCCUGCAUGAAGUCGGAAUCGCUAGUAAUCGUGGAUCAGCAUGUCACGGUGAAUACGUUCCCGGGUCUUGUACACACCGCCCGUCACACCAUGGGAGCGGGUUCCGCCAGAAGUAGGUAGCCUAACCGCAAGGGGGGCGCUUACCACGGCGGGGUUCGUGACUGGGGGAAGUCGGAACAAGGUAGCCGUAGGGGAACCUGCGGCUG
Molecule: ribosomal RNA, 1285 nt
Filed under: metagenome
Description: bacterial SSU rRNA
Rfam family: Bacterial small subunit ribosomal RNA
Source: RNAcentral